RNAcentral lists this ribosomal RNA (194 nucleotides) under uncultured rumen bacterium. Its description in RNAcentral is "partial 16S ribosomal RNA". It matches the Rfam family "Bacterial small subunit ribosomal RNA", at positions 340 to 524 of the family's 1533-position model. The record is from RNAcentral.
UACGGGAGGCAGCAGUGGGGAAUCUUCCGCAAUGGGCGAAAGCGUGACGGAGCAACGCCGCGUGAGUGAAGAAGGUCUUCGGAUCGUAAAGCUCUGUCGAAGGGGACGAACGUAGUGCUUAUCAACAACGAGCGCUAAUNNCGGUACCUUUCAAGAAAGCCACGGCUAACUACGUGCCAUGCAGCCGCGGUAAU